GACGAACGCUGGCGGCGUGCCUAACACAUGCAAGUCAACUUGACUGAAGGAGCAAUCUGACAGUAGAGUGGCGCAAGGGUGCGUAACGCGUAAGUAACUUGCCCAAGGUAAGGAAUAACGUCGAGAAAUCGGCGCUAAUACCUCAUAAUGCAGCGGAUCCGCAUGGAUAUGUUGUUAAAGGUUUACCGCCUUGGGAUAGGCUUGCGUCUGAUUAGCUAGUUGGUGUGGUAACGGCACACCAAGGCUCCGAUGUCUAGGGGUUCUGAGAGGAUUAACCCCCACACUGGUACUGAGACACGGACCAGACUCCUACGGGAGGCAGCAGUAAGGAAUAUUGGGCAAUGGACGCAAGUCUGACCCAGCCAUGCCGCGUGAAGGAUGACGGCCCUAUGGGUUGUAAACUUCUUUGUACGGGAAAAAACCUUCGAACGUGUUCGAAGCUGAUGGUACCGUAAGAAUAAGCAUCGGCUAACUCCGUGCCAGCAGCCGCGGUAAU
This 496-nucleotide ribosomal RNA is filed under the name uncultured bacterium. RNAcentral's name for it is "bacterial SSU rRNA". It matches the Rfam family "Bacterial small subunit ribosomal RNA", at positions 28 to 524 of the family's 1533-position model. The record is from RNAcentral.